Molecule: long non-coding RNA, 12542 nt
Organism: Cavia porcellus (domestic guinea pig)
Lineage: Eukaryota; Metazoa; Chordata; Mammalia; Rodentia; Caviidae
Exons: 5
Source: RefSeq, a predicted model, not a curated record
CCGUCUGCAAGAGAGCGGGGUUAGAGCCAGGCUGGCGGGCCCAGACCAGCUAUUAGGGCUGGAGCUAUCAGUGCCCCGACCCUGACGCCUCUCCCCCUUGCCAGUGCACCCCAGAACUUCGCUUUUCUUUCAUCUGUCUUCUCAGUGGUGUGUAGGGGGGUCCCAGCUCUGCUUGGUUACCGUGUUGCCGCGCCCACUGCCCCCAGAGCUCCCUUCCUUAUAUUACUUGACGCCUCAUCUUGCAUACCACCACCUCUGCCUCAUCCCACACACCUGCUUUUCCCUUCCCCAUCCUUCUACCUUCAAAAACCCUAACGCUGGGGCUCUGUUCCCCAAACGUCCAAGUCUUUCCGAGUAACUCCAGCCCUCCCAAGCAGGCAGGCAGCACCAUGGCUAAAUCGACUGGAGCCCACAACAAAGCGCUCCUCUGCGGCCUGGUGAAGGCGCUCAGUGGUCCUCGCCAAGCACCCAGAUAGCCUUCGCCUCAGCGCAGAGCCCGCGAGAAGGUUUUCCUGGUCUCCAGGCCUUGCUACUUCCUCGCCCCUCCUGGGCAAGCUAGGGAGAGUCUCCUCCCCACUGUGGCCCUGCACAGCUCGGAGAAACUGGCGACCAUUCCACCCUCCACUAGCCUACAAAGCUCCGCGUUCGGACGGAGGAGGCGGGCUGUUGCCAGAGUUCGGGUCCCUCGGCUGGGCGGGGCUGAGAGGGUGGAAAGCAGCACUACAGGUCAUGGCAAGGGCGAGCAGUCGCGCGCUUGCGGCCCUGGGAGAUGGGGCUGCGGAAGAAAGGCGAGCAGACUAAGCAGACUGAGCGCGCGGUCCCGGGCAAGAAGAGUUUACAGGACUGUUAUCCCUGAUGAAUAAUGAGCUAUAAGCACUCUUGGAAGUUUGUCAGUGGUCUUCACAUAGCUCCUCUCAGGAGAUACACAGAGAAGUUGAUCCACUUUCCAAGUUCCCAGAGCUCCUACGUGGCAGAGCCAGAAUUCAAAUGUGUUUAUCUGUCAAACUACAGGAUCCUGAGUUCUUAAGCAUACUGCUGGGGAAUAUAUAUUUGGGUCAGAGACUUGGAGGUUUCUGUACUCUAAAGAAGAAAUGAAUUAUAUAGGGCAGGUAGAGACUGUACUCUAUAAUCAAUCCCCAGCAGGCAGCGACUGUGCCCUAUAAUCAAUCCACAGCCUCUCACAUGGAGCAGCACCGUACCUGGGUUACUCCCAACAUCAUCUGUUAACUGCCACACUUCUUUCAGUGAGGCCGUGAGAUCCUUGGAUAAAAGGUAGCAUGUCUUUUUUAUAUUCGCAUCUUCAGAAUGUAGCACAGUGUCUGGAACCUAGGAAGUGUUAAAUAUACCAGGCAUGGCACUCAACACAAGCCAAGCCAACUCUUCUGGAGCAAGCAGUGAGAAGGAGAAGCUUUCUGUGCAGCUGGGUUUGCUUAGCUGGAGGUAAGCCUGGUACUGUUGUUGCCCUGAACCAGGAGACAGAAGCAUGUUUUCUCCAAGAAGAAAGUCAACGAAGAGAAAGCUACAGAAACUGCCCAGUCGGGUCCCUGAAUCUAGCUUGUUUGGCGCUCACAUCAGUAGCUCCCUUUUUAUUUCCAUUGUCCAAUAAAGUCCUGUUAUUUUUUGUGCCAAUUUGAGUUGAGCUUCUGUUAUUUGCCACCAAAAUAUGUCAACUAAUUCAGGAAUCUUUGGUGCAUGUGUUAUCUGAAUGGAAACACAGCUGAACCCUGAAGAAUCCAACUCUGCCUGCCUGUCUAAUUCUUGGAAACUUGCUCUAAAUGCUCUGAAUUUCUCUUUGAGCCUAUGGAGUCAUGAAUAUCUUCCCUGAAGGACUAGCCCACGCCUGGGCAGGGAGGAAACCAAGAUGCUAGGCUUGGAAAUAAUUAGCAUAGUACUAACAGGACUCAUUUCUCUGUUCUGUCAUCGAAUGGCAGCCCUAGGGACAACUGUUGCCAUGAAAGAUGGGCCCAAAACUGUCAUUAAAUUACAUACAUUGCCAUUGCUCCUGGUUAUUAAGUCUUUGGCAAAUCAAUUCUUUAUGGCCUUUUAAUCAGGCGCAGAUAAAUAAGGACAAGUAGCUUGGAGAACUUCCUUUAAAAAAGUUCAUGGAAACAGCUAUGAAUGUCCCAGUCCACAGAUUCAGGGAGCUAGGUGCCCAAGUCUCAGGAAGACAGGACCCUGACUUUCUCAGAGGAAUGCAAGAGGAUCUGUGAGACCAGAGGAGGGAAAAUGCAGACUAUCUUUAUCCCAUAACCACAGCUCACAGCCAAGACCAGUGCAGCGAGCAUGGAAUAGCAAGAUGGUUGUGGAUAAUUCCAGUUUCUUCAGUACAGGCAAUCAUGCAAGAAGGAAGUCAUCUGUGAUGUCAUCAAGUGUGCCCAACUUCCUCCUCUCUGAACCCCGUCUGGGCUGCACUCCCAGCUCCUGUGAAUUGUGGGCGGGGCCACAUGACUGUUUCUGCCCUAUGAGCUAGCGAGGAUUCCAUACAUGUCAUGUUCUGAUGGAUCUUUAAAGCUAGUAAUUCUUUGCUCUAUCCUGCCUUCAUAUCAAAACAGAGCUUCUACCAGCUGAGCCUGAAGGUAUUGGGAAUGUUUGUUACUGUUUGUUACUGUUUGACUCAGUCUACCCUGAUCAAUGAAGGAAAUACAGCCAUAGGUAUAGAGAUGCCAUAAAGCCCUUGCGCAUGUGGAAAGUUAGUUUUCCUUGUGAUUUGCCUGCUCUGUUCUUUUCAGUUCUUAGAAAUUCUUGGUUCCUUGGAGAGAUUUCAGGGGUCCUCACACUACUGAGGUUGGCAAAUUGGGAGCAGAGAACCAUGGUUUUUAGCUUAGCACCUUCAGAAAGUAAGGAAUAGUUGGUAUGAAGGUCAGCAUGCUAAUUGUACUUCCCACUGAGUUAUCUUCUAGGUACUCAAACAGUGCUUACAGGAGCUCCAAAGUCACUCAGAAACCAUAGGGGGGACAUUUCGUACAGCUCUGAGUAUCAAGGGCAAUCCCUUCCCUGGUAUUCAAUGCCAGCAAAAAAAGAGAAACUACACAAGUAGUCAUUAGAGGAAAGUACUGUUAUUAAGAUAAUAAAACUAAUCAGUAGAACACAGAGAGAUUUGGGUGGGCAGGGAUGUUGCAAAUUUCUGUCUUGGGAAGACGUCUCUUAGGAAGCAAUAUGAUAUUGAUUUGGAAUUUGGAGGAUGGGAGGAAGCCAACCAAAGGGAAAAGGAUACUGGGUAGAGAAAAGAGCCAAAGUGAGUAUUGGUCAUGUGAAUUAUGUUGAAUGUAGUCAGUUAAUGGACACUAAAUGAGUACCUACUGUGUAUUAAGCUGUAUACCAGUUAUAGAGAGAAAGACUGUGGCUCUCAAUGGGUCCGGUGAAGUCAGAGGCUGCUCAGAUCCUGACACAAUCACCCUUAGCCAUGUUGGUUGGCCUGCCAAACACCAUCCAUGCCUCAUAUAGCUAAUUCUUGCAGAGCCCCAGCAAGUUGCACUGACCUUUGACCCUGCCAGGUGAAAGACAUAAAAGGACUGAAAGGAAUGGCGUGCUGUAGGUUGUGAGCCAUCCCAAGUCCAUGUGUUUGGAGGGCCAAAUUUCUUUUUUAUUUCGAAGAUAGUAAAAUACAACAGAACAAAAUGAAACAAAGCCAGUUGAGACAGACACAGCAGGUUACCAGGAUAAUAGUAAUAGGUACCAUAGUAUAUCUCAUUAUCUUCACAAUCAUUGUUCUUAGAAAGCAGCUAUAGCAAAAUCAAACAAAAUACAGAACAUUACACAACUUAUCAAAACAGAAUACUGAAUAGAGCAAUAUCAUUAAUCAGAACACAGCAAAACAGUGGUAACAAUAUUUGCCUUCAAAGAGAGGUUAGAAGGAAAUCCCCCUUAUCUCCUGCAUUGCAUAUGGUCAACCUCCCAAGAGAUGCUCAGAUCUCUGGCUCCCAUUUGCUAAUAGGGGUUGGGGAUAGGAUGUUUGAUUUUCAGCCCGCAUGCUGGUAGGCUCACAGCCACGUACCAGGGAGACGAGCUGGUUGCUUGGUUUUCCAGAACCCCAGGUUCCAACAUGGUGCAGAUUUCAAGAGACACUGGGUGGUUCUCGCCCUGGGGUGGCUGCAGCUUGCCCAAACCACAGCUGCUUACCAGGAAGGCAAGCUAGUUGCUUGGUUUCCCAGUACCCCAAGUUCUAACAUGGCAUGAUUCCUGGGAGACACUGGGUGGUUCUCACCCUGGAGCAGCUGCAGCUUAUCUGAGCCGCAGUCACUUACCAGGGAGGCAAGCUGGUUGCUCCCCCAAUUUCUUCAGGAACACAAUCAGGUGGACUCAUGCCCAGAGGUUCUGCAAGGGUCUCUUGGGACACUAUUAUGCUCAAAAGUGGGCCUUUCCUGCCGGGGGAGCAAUGAUGGUAAGGGCAGGGGAAAGAAAGUACAAAGGAAGGACUGAAGUUAUGAGGUUCCAGAAACUGUCCUGACUUGAUAGUCUGCCUGAUAUUCCUUUUUGGUGUCCUAACGGGAAUCCCCCUACAACCUAUCAUGAUUCCUGGCUCUCAUUGUGAAGCAUGACCAAAAAAAUAGAGAGUUUAAAUUUUAAAAAUGUAUUACAGUAAGGGAAGCAUUACUAUGGGUCCUUGUCAAAACACUGUCCUUUGCUUCAAAUAUAUUUAUCCCAAUGCUCUUGCCACUUUCUGAAGCAGUUCUGGAAGCCCUCUUUCAAGCGGGUCUUUAUUUGUGCUGUCAUGGCUGCCUCCAUGACCUGAGUGAUUCAAAAUACUUACUUGUCAUGGUCAUUUUGACCUUGGAGGUAAUCCAGAAGUUGUACAGUACUAGAUCCAGUGAAUAAGGUAGAUGAAGACACAUCAUUUUAUUUGAUGACAGCAGCAGGAUUUACCUUGUUUAUGACCAUACCUGAUAAAAAGACACUCAGGAAAGAGAAUUUCCAGAGUUCUUGAAAAAACAGCAAGACCAAUGGGAUAAGCGUAUUUAAUGUGAGGGAGAGUAUUUUGAGGAAGGACUAAUGGCAAUGUGUCUUUUACUAUAAUAUUUUCUUUAAAAAAAUUUAAACGUAACUAUACAGCUCAAUAAUGCCUCAUAGCUUUCCUUAUAAGUACUGGAUACUUCAUUGUUUUUAUUUUUAUUUUUAUUUUUUGGUUACCAGAGAUCAAAUUCAUGACCUUGCACUUGCUGGGCAGGCCCUUAUGCCACUGAGCUAAAUCCUUAGCCCUGGACAAUUCAUUGCAAUGCAUCACUUAGAGGUAAAAAUACUCUUUAUUCUCCACUGUUAACACUAUUAGUCAUGUCAACAUACGUUAAGUUUUGCAAACACACAUGGGGUUCUUGUCUCCUUGAAGAGCAUAAAGGGCUGAAUCAUUCCUCUGGUCUUUCUACUUGGAAUGGAGGGCUUGGUGGGUGGCACCAGGCCUCCUGCUUUUGGCUUGCUUGAGUUUUCUGGAGAGAAGUGAAUGCUGAGUGACUCCUCUCUGUCAUACCACCCUCUCAGAGGGGCAGAGCCAGGGGCCACUGAUAGUAGUAACUGAGGCCUGAAACACACUGUCCUCCUUGUUCAUCUCCCUUCAGACUCUGCAGCCACCAGCACCAACCACCAGCCACCAGCCUAGAGAAAGGAGGGGUGCUGAGAAGGAAGAAUAGGAACAGAGAGCAAAUGGCCCUGGUUAGGGAGGGCAGCAUAUGGGAUUCCUAUAGGUUUAGGUGCACUAUCAGGAGAGAGCAGCAAGAAAUAUCAAUUUGGGGCAGACUGGGUUGAGAAAGGACAACUCCAUCUGAGAAAUAGCCCCUGUGCCACGGACAGGCUCUGAAACUUCAUCUUCAGAAGAGCCAUCUUUAGUUUGGGCUCCUUUUCUUCUCUUUCCCAAUGCUGCACAAUCCUCUUGCAGACCCAUGACCUCCCACCUUGGGGAGGGACCCAUUACCUGAAUCUCUUUUUACCCCUCACUGUGGGCAGAUCUAACAAAUGACACUCAGAGUCCAGAACCUCAUGGAGCAUAGAGAUGGGUCAGGACCAGGGGAGCUGCAGGUGGGAAUGGGAUUUAGCUGUUGUAGAGACCACGAUGACCACAUUUGCCUUUGCCUGGAUGCCCUCCAUAGCCAGUGUCACAUGACCUGGCUAAUGCCACAUCUUACAGAUGGGAAGCAAACCAGCUCAGAAGGAAUCUUGGGAGUUUCAGUUCCAUAUGCCAAGAAAAAUACAAUUCCUAACCUCUUUCUGUCACAUUGUUCCUUUUUACAACUAGCCCUCCACACACUCCACCAGGGAGAGUCUGGGGCUGGGUUAAUCACUUUGUCUUUCUGUCAGGUACUACUCUAUGGUAAAUAAGUGGGAUUGUUUGCCAAAGACCUCAGCCCCACUGCAGCAGCUUGUGGAGCUGUUCUAAGGAAUGUAAUGUGUCUGUGUUCAUUGCUGCAGCAUUUGGUUUUUCUGGCAUUGGAACUGAGCAAGUGAUAUGAAAUGCAAUAAAGUUGCAUCCAAACACACCAAGGGAACCUAAAAACAGCUCAGCUUGAAAAUGUGCUGAGGAAGUCAGCUUCCAAGCCUGCUCAAACUCCUUGGAAUUAAUCGGAUUUCCAAGAGCAUCUGCUUUGGCAUGUUGUCCAUUUUGCAUUUAAAUUUUGUAAAAUGACAGCUGUUGAGAGACCAGAAAUAUUGGUAGAUGCAAGUCUGUGGAAAUGACACUCCAGUGGCAACUCCAUGUUAAGUCAGAUGUCGUCAUAGGAGACAUCGAACUAAUACUUGCUGAAGAAGAUUUCAUUAGGUGGGUCGCUGCCUGCUAUGGAUCAGCUGGGUGGUUUCUGGGUGAUCUGUGCCCUUAUGCUUGAUGUUCCAAAAUUGCAUGCAAUAAAAUCUCAGAAAACACAUAUGGACAGGAAUAGAAGCUGCAGGGCCAUGGUUUUAGGGGACACGCAGAUAUGCAUGCUAAUAGCAGCUAGACUGUUGGUGGUGAUUGGCAUGCAGGGUUUAUCUCCAACCUCAGCUGUAUGUCUUGGCCAGGGGUAUCUUCAACCUAUCCUCCAGCCAUCAUCAUCCUUAUCGUGCUCUCCAGAUUUCCUGGUUGCCACUUGUGUCUUGACCAUGAUGGGCUCUGACUCACCUGCUCCUUUUGCACCUGCUAUUUCCUCUGCCCAGAUUGUACCUCUACCCUUUAGAGGGCUUAAUCUUUCAUUCUUCCAAUCUUUACUUGAUGUCAAUUCCUCAGAGAUGCCCUCCCUCCCCAUGAUGUCUAAAGGAGUCCCAGACUUCUCUAUCUCUGUUGGUCGGCAUUCCAUUGUUGUGACAAAAUACCUGAGAAAAACAACAUAAGGGAAGAAAGGUUUAUUUUGGCUCAUGGUUUCAGUUCAUGGUAACUUGGCUGUGCUACUUCUGGGCCUGUGAUGCAAUAGAUCAUUGAGGAGAGGGAGGAGGAGGAGAAAGAAAGGUAGGAGGAGGGGAGAGAAGGAGAGAUAUUCCUAAAUCUUCCACCACUUUCUAAUAAUGCAUGAGCUAUGAAAUUGUCAGUGGGUUAAUCUACUGUUGAAUUUAGAGUCCUCAGGAUCCAAUCACUUCCCCAAAGUCCUACCUCUGGACAAUUUCUGGGACUAAGCCUUCAACAUGUCCAUUUUGGGUCAUUUAUUAUCCAAACCAUAACAUUAUUCUUCUAUCUGCCUACUUUUUCUUGCACUGAAUUUGUCUUUAUUACAAUUACAACUGUUGGUUGCCAAUUUGUGUAUCAUACACUGUUUCUGUUAGAAUCCAGGCUCUGAGAUGCAGUCCCUUCUACCUCUGUGGGCAUCUGUCUAAUGAGAAGGAGUGGACCAGGCUGCUAUUAUCUGGAAGCUGGACUAGGAACCUUGCAGGGUCAAAGAGUGUAGGGGCCAGGUCUGGACUGAAGAGAACUUGGGAUUAGGGUUUAUCACUGUUUUGUCUGAUAAAAUCUGAAGGCAGCAAGGUGUGUUGUCACAUGUCUGUAAUUCCAUCACUCUGGAAGGCUAAGGCUGGAGAAUUGUGAGUUCCAGUGUAGUGACUUAGUGAUUCCCUGUCUCAAAAUUUAAAAAAGUAAAAAAGGACUGAUGUUGUAACUCCAUGCAAAAGGCCUGGAGUUCUAUCCCCAAUAAUCUGAUUGCCCAAAAAUCUUGAAAGGAAUUGUGCUCAAGGCCACUGGGUGUUUCAGUUUUACCCUUGCAUUUCCUAAAAGAAUUCAAGUGGAAUAUAAAAGAACUUAAAAAUUAUUGACAGUAAAGUAUUUUUAAUAUUUUAGGGGAAAAUAUAUUAACAAAAAUUUUAUAUUGAAUUUUAUCAAGCUAACUCUUUGAGGUUUAUUAAGAAAAAGCUUUAUUCAAGGGAAAGACUAAGGCCACAAUCUGAUCCACUGACUUUUUUUUAACAUAAAGUUUUAUUGGAACACAGUCAUGCUUGUUAGUUUUCAUAUGAACUGUGGCUGCUUCCACGUUACAAUUGAAGAGCUAAGUAGUUGUGACAGUGACUAUAUUGCUUGAAAGACAGAAAUACCAUUUGAACCUUAAAGAAAAAGCAGAUAGCAAGUAAUUGGAAAAAAUCACUGAAAUCUAUGAGGCUUAUUUUGGUGCUGAGUGAGGCCACACCUUGCAGUGCGUUAGCAGAGAUGAGCUUGCAGCCUGAGCUCGUUGCCCCUCCAAACCUUGGGUCUUGGCUGGCUUGCUGGGGCCAUGUUUUAUCCUCCUCCACAUAGUUGUAGUUCCCUUUCUAAGGAUGCAAAUCCUCCCUCUGGCCUGUUAAAAGCCAAGCUAGAAGUAAGACUAGUUCCCCAACCUGAGGCAGGAUAGAUUUACUAGGUGUUGAAGAUAGGGAUAUCCUCUAACUAAGGAAAAGCAAACUCAAAAGACCUGUGGUGUUCAAGAGUGUGAACACCAUGCUAUGACUGGACCAAGGCCAAGGACAGGCCACUCCAAGGUGAACUGUUUAUUUUUAAAAACUUGUUUGUUUUGGAAAACUGCGGCUCAAAAACAACUCAGUGAUUGACAAUGCCAAACAAUGACAACAAAGCAAUCAUUUCCAUAUUCAGAGAGACCACUUCUCCCAAAGAAAAUUCCUGGUCCCCAGGGAAAAAGCUAAGAUAGGUCUCAAGGGGACUGGAGGGGAAUGAAGAGGCCACUGUAAUUAAGGCAAGGUGGCUGAGAUUAGCUGAAUGCCCAUAGCCUUAUGUGUGAAUGGUAAUUAUGCUUGGAGCAAAGAGCUGUUUGAAAGAAUGACAUAAUAAAGCUCCCAAACUGGUCGGUGUAAUUUCCCCUGACACUCAGCAUGCAUGAAUAAAAUACACAGUCAAACAGAAGAGUAAUCAGAUUUGAAAUAUUCCUUUAAUAAUAUGUUUGCCAGAUCAAAUAUUAAAAAUAGAAGAUAGAGAAAAGAAGCAACUGUCCCUCGUGGUAUCAGUUCCAUAAAUAUUGCUUCAUUAAGCUGUCUGGGUCGGUUCAAAGAGAUGGAUUUUCAAAUGUGGCCAACGUUCCAGACUGCUUGUUGCGAUGAAGUGGAAGACUUGAUCUGGGCUGCGAGCAUCACCUCACCUCACCAUGCUGUGCCUGCCGCUGUGUUGAGGGGCCAUCAGUUAACAGCCAGAGCUGGCCUGACAUCUGCCCAAAGGACAUGUGUUUAUUUAUUUGGAGUCAAGCCUCUCCCUUCGGUGUACCAGUGGCUUCCAUCCCAGCCAAACAGCAGGGAAUUAAUAAUGAUGGCAUUUGACUUUCCUAAGACCUUCCCUUGGUAAAAAAGCUUGCAUUUAUCCUACUGGCAUUUCUAUGAGGUGGGGUGGGGGAUGCAGUAUGUAGAAAAUAUGCCCUCCUGCCAACCCAGGUCUGCAGUUUAUAAGGAGGACUUCAGGUACCAAGUUUUGAUAGACUGGUAUACAAAGGGACUGAGAAACUCUUAAUUCCUUGAAGAAAGCCAGUAAUACAUUUAGAGUAUUGAGCUUUAUCUCAGUUUAAGGCCAAAGAUAUCUACAAUUGGGCCCAAGGUUCUAUACUAAAGAGGAAGAUGAAUAACUGCUUAAAAUCAAUGAUCAAAAUUAAUCCUUUGAAUAAGAGCAAGAAGCACUACCUUGAUUCAGGCAUAGAUCUGUCAACAAGUGUAAACAUACUGGAUUUCUACAAGAAUGUUUGAGUUUUAUGUCAGGGAUCCAGAAUUAGUCAACUCUCAGAGAUGCAGAGGUAAGUAACUCUGACUGAUGCUAAGGCUUCACUGACAUAAAGAACAUUCAUUCUUGAGUUCACGAAAUCUUUGGUAUCACCUUCCUCUGUCUAUUGUCAAAAUAUUGAGUUUGGGAAAGAGCUCAGAAGAAAAUUAAAGGGCUAAAUUUAGUCAAAUCUUGUUUGAUCAUUUAAGGUCAAAGAGUCAAUGUGAGUGGAUAUUAUGCAUUUUAAAGAGAAAUUAUUUUUGUAAAUAUGUGAUACUGUCUAUUAGAUGUAGGUGUCUUGGUGACUCGAUGAAUUUUAGGAUGAAUUAGACCAUAACAAAAUAAUUCAGAUUGGUGGGGCAGGUUGCUGGGGUCAGGCCCACGGUUUCACUGAGCUUCGCUGAUUCCUUUUGUUCAUAGAUGUGCUGCAGGCUCAUGGGCAGUCAACACUGUGCUUUUUAUCUGCUUCUAUAUCCAGGUUACUGAAAUACUUCCUGACUCAUACGUUGCUUCCCCAGUUGCUUUCUUUUCCUGCUCUAGGAUCCUGAAAUUACAAGAAGGAAGGUGGGAUUAGAGACCAGGUAACUGAUGCUGGUAAAUGAUGACCCCCCUCCCUCUCCCCUUCUCUACACCUUGGUAACACUUCCCAUCCAGGGCCACUUAAGUCUCUGGUCAACCUCUCACAGAACUGUACUUUGUGCAACUAUGUCAUCAUCAGUUUUGCCUCUCGGGGGAGAGCUUAUCAGUUUGGUGGGAUGCCUAGCAAUCCACUGCUGUGGAUAGAUGUGCUUCUGGCACGAGGGACAUGCUGUUCUACCCCACUGCCCCCAGCGAGCUCAGUCCCGCCUGCUGUUAUUUAUUAGAAGGGUUUCUCUGAUGGUGCCAUAUGCUCUCUACUGUGGCAGCAGAUGCUAUCAUUGCCCCUCCUACAUCCUCUUUGGCACAGAGCAUUCACACACACCAUGGCUCUGACAGCAAGCACCAGGAUUCUCCACCUGAGUCCAUUCUGUGGCUGCAAAAUUGUGCUUUGCUCCCUGCACACAGGGCAACCAGUCCUAAUGCCAGUGCCAGCAGAAGUUGGUGGGUAAAAACCCCAGCAUCUUUGCUCCUUCUGUGAAACCAUUCUGAGGUGUGAUCUGCAGUCUCUCAGUGGCACCCAGCAGGACUGAGCUCCAGUUGCCCACAGCAGCAGAAAGCUCACUAGUGCACCGUCUACUGUGUGCUUUUGCUUCCCUGUCUCACUCACCACUCUGUUAUCUGUGGUUGGUGUGAGCAUCUCCUGAUACAUGUCUUACUCAGGAACCCGUGUUGCAGGCUCUACCUGUGGGGAUUCCAGGUAAAGUCACAGGUAUCAUGAAGACUUUGCACAGACCUAUUCCAAGGACCCUUAUUAACAUGGUGAAGGUACUGUGCUUGGAUUGCAAAGUCAUGAUCACCAAUGCGUAGGUGUGACUCAUUCUUUAGGGCUCAUUUAUGGUGUUUUCUCCUCCAGGAAGCUUUCUUGCAUGGUGCACUCUCUUUGCAGGAGCUGUUGGGUGUCCAGGAUGUUGUGCUGUGAUGAGACAAAAAUCUGCCCUUGAGAAAUCUAAACUGUGAUUUCAUUUGGUUCACUUGGUGCUCUGAGCUGGCCAGGAGGAGACUGUGUAUCCCUGUGGUUUACCUCUGCUGCGGACACUGGCUGCUUGUGUGCUCCCCUGAGGCUCUUCUCUCUCCUUUGUUCAUUGGCUCCAAGAUUUGUGAGGAGAGAGCGGUGUGCAGAGUGCUGGUGGGUCCCUUUAUUUUUCUGCCUCUGUGACCCUUAACCAUGAUACGGCAAUUUGACUGGAUGAAGAUACCUAGCAGAUUAGUGAAACAUACUUCAGGACGUUUUAUGCAAAGUUUUCAGAGAUAACUGGCAUGUUGGACAACAAACUGAGGGGGAAGACCAAACCUGAUUGCAGGUGACACAAUUCAAUAGGCUUGAAUCCUGGCUAGGAUGAAAAGGGAUGCAGGAGGAAGGCAGCCUGUGUUUGUAAAACUCUGCUCUGCUUGGGGCAUUUUCUGCUACUCCUGUCACCUGGGGACUCCAGCUUCUUCAGCCUCUCACUGCAUAUGCACACAGCGGCUCUCUAGGGAGCUCCUGAGCCUUCAUUCUUGGAGUGCUGUUGCAUCCUUGAUCCCAACUUCUUGGGCUUAGCAGCCACUGGAUUGCUCUUCAGUGAGGAAACAGGCAUUGUAUGAUCUCUCAAAUCUGAUUUGUUAAACGUACCCAAUAAAGAUCCUUGUGUCAUUUUUUUUCUGUAAAAUGUUCCUUUUGUUCCUCUAGAGAACCCCAACCAAUGCAAUCUCCUAGAACACUGAUGAUAAGGAAUAAAGCAUGUUUUUAUUUUAUUAAUAUGUAAUGCACAAUUUGAUAUUAAUCACUUCAUUAAAGUCAUUUUAAUGUGGGAGUCUA